This 489-nucleotide ribosomal RNA is filed under the name uncultured Pelotomaculum sp. RNAcentral describes it as "bacterial SSU rRNA". It matches the Rfam family "Bacterial small subunit ribosomal RNA", at positions 897 to 1382 of the family's 1533-position model. The record is from RNAcentral. Lineage: Bacteria; Bacillati; Bacillota; Clostridia; Eubacteriales; Desulfotomaculaceae.
AAACUCAAAUGAAUUGACGGGGGCCCGCACAAGCGGUGGAGCAUGUGGUUUAAUUCGACGCAACGCGAAGAACCUUACCAGGGCUUGACAUCCCCUGACCGCGUAUGAAAGUACGUUUUCACCCUCGGGUGACAGGGAGACAGGUGGUGCAUGGUUGUCGUCAGCUCGUGUCGUGAGAUGUUGGGUUAAGUCCCGCAACGAGCGCAACCCCUACGUUUAGUUGCUAACAGGUGAAGCUGAGCACUCUAGACGAACUGCCGUUGACAAAACGGAGGAAGGUGGGGAUGACGUCAAAUCAUCAUGCCCCUUAUGUUCUGGGCUACACACGUGCUACAAUGGCCGGUACAGACGGAGGCGAAGCCGCGAGGCGGGGCAAAUCCGAAAAAGCCGGUCUCAGUUCGGAUUGCAGGCUGCAACUCGACUGCAUGAAGUCGGAAUCGCUAGUAAAGGCGUAUCAGCAACGACGCCUUGAGUACGUUCCCGGGCCUU